GUGGGGAAUCUUCCGCAAUGGACGAAAGUCUGACGGAGCAACGCCGCGUGAACGAUGACGGCCUUCGGGUUGUAAAGUUCUGUUAUACGGGACGAAUGGUACGACGGUCAAUACCCGUCGUAAGUGACGGUACCGUAAGAGAAAGCCACGGCUAACUACGUGCCAGCAGCCGCGGUAAUACGUAGGUGGCAAGCGUUGUCCGGAAUUAUUGGGCGUAAAGGGCGCGCAGGCGGCGUCGUAAGUCGGUCUUAAAAGUGCGGGGCUUAACCCCGUGAGGGGACCGAAACUGCGAUGCUAGAGUAUCGGAGAGGAAAGCGGAAUUCCUAGUGUAGCGGUGAAAUGCGUAGAUAUUAGGAGGAACACCAGUGGCGAAAGCGGCUUUCUGGACGACAACUGACGCUGAGGCGCGAAAGCCAGGGGAGCAAACGGGAUUAGAAACCCCUGUAGUCC
Molecule: ribosomal RNA, 450 nt
Filed under: uncultured bacterium
Lineage: Bacteria
Description: partial 16S ribosomal RNA
Rfam family: Bacterial small subunit ribosomal RNA
Source: RNAcentral